ACGGAAGGCAGCAGUGGGGAAUAUUGCACAAUGGGGGAAACCCUGAUGCAGCGACGCCGCGUGAAGGAAGAAGUAUUUCGGUAUGUAAACUUCUAUCAGCAGGGAAGAAAAUGACGGUACCUGACUAAGAAGCCCCGGCUAACUACGUGCCAGCAGCCGCGGUAAUACGUAGGGGGCAAGCGUUAUCCGGAUUUACUGGGUGUAAAGGGAGCGUAGGCGGUCUGACAAGUCAGAAGUGAAAGCCCGGGGCUCAACCUCGGGACUGCUUUUGAAACUGCCGGACUAGAUUGCAGGAGAGGUAAGUGGAAUUCCUAGUGUAGCGGUGAAAUGCGUAGAUAUUAGGAGGAACACCAGUGGCGAAGGCGGCUUACUGGACUGUAAAUGACGCUGAGGCUCGAAAGCGUGGGGAGCAAACAGGAUUAGAUACCCUGGUA
RNAcentral lists this ribosomal RNA (434 nucleotides) under uncultured Lachnospiraceae bacterium. RNAcentral's name for it is "bacterial SSU rRNA". It matches the Rfam family "Bacterial small subunit ribosomal RNA", at positions 341 to 792 of the family's 1533-position model. The record is from RNAcentral. Lineage: Bacteria; Bacillati; Bacillota; Clostridia; Lachnospirales; Lachnospiraceae.